Molecule: non-coding RNA, 1548 nt
Organism: Punica granatum (pomegranate)
Lineage: Eukaryota; Viridiplantae; Streptophyta; Magnoliopsida; Myrtales; Lythraceae
Source: RefSeq, a predicted model, not a curated record
UCCUGUUCUGUUGACCUGCACUUUCAUUUCCUUUCUUUCCUUUUUUUUUUCUUCUUCUUCUUCUUUCAACUGAUGUUGGCAGGCAAGUUGGGCCGCACCCGCUGAUGACUUCUUCUGUCCUUCCUUUUUCCUUUCUUUUCUUUCCUUCUGAGGAACCAGCAACUCCCAAGCCUUCAGUUCAGAAAGCUCUGGGCCAUGCCCUGCAACUUCCUGCCACCGCCCUUCUCUGCACGUAUGACAUCCACCUACGUCUACUCCUCCUCAGCAGCACGGAUUCCAUAAGAAAAAAAAACCACGAACUCUCUCUCUCUCUCUCUCUCUCUCUCUCUCUCUCUUUCUUUCUCUCUGGCUCGGGCAGAAGGACAGAGAAAAGGAGACAGACCGGCCUCUGUUUCUUCGAUCAUCCAGAGGCAACAGACAGCUCAACAACAACCAUCAAUCCAUCUCCUCUCGGGCUCUCAACUCUUUUCCUCUCCUGGCUUCAACACACAGACGAUUCCUUCAUCUUUUCUCCUUCAGUCCCUCAGCUCUCUCUUCCGAAAAGAGACCAGUAAUUUCAACAUCCUCAUCAUCUUCCAUAAGCCCACCAUAGACUCCCAUCAUCAUCACCAGCAAGCUCGUCAUCCUUGCCACCAGACACACCAACUUCCAGCCCUCCCCUUCUCGGCUGAUCACAGAGCGCCCCAACUUCUCCUUGUCCUCUCUUUUCCACGUUACUGGCUGAGAGUACAUAGACACAGACCAGAACUGAUCUCUCUCUCUCUCUCUCUCUGUGUGUCUCUCUCUCGAACUUAAAAGGCACAAGAGGACAGCAGCAGCUACGCCUGAGCUGGUUUUCGUCGCCAUCCGGACCCCUCCCCCGAGCCUCUGAGCUAAGCUUUCACCACCUUUUCUUUCAUUUCCGGUUCUUUCCUCCGUUACUCUCUGUCUGUGGUGCUUUAUUUCUCUUUUUUGUAUUAUUUUUUUUCUGGUUUUUCCCUCUGUUUUGCAGGUUCGAGUUUCCUUAAUGAGCUCCAACUGCGACCCUUCCCGCUGUCACGCUUUCCCGACUCGUUGUGCCGCCCUGUCAUCCCUUUCCUUUUCACUGUGGUGAACUGAGACGGUCGAUUUCAGCUCAGGAUCGAGGAGUUUCGUAGCUUCUCGAGUUCCUCCCGACUUCGGUGGGGAGAGGGUCCAACGUCCCACCCAUCAAUCAUGGGGUCUAACGCCCCCCACACACUAAGUGUGCGCGACCCGAAUGCGACAUGGGGUCUAGCAUUGAGUCACCGUUUUAAUCGUAGUAGAAUCCAAGCGGAGGAUGACUCGGCUCAGGAUGCGUGAAAUGGGAUUAAACAAUCACCUGGCUAUCUUGAGGACCAUUUGACCCUCCUGGGAUCCACUGGUUCAGUCGGAUCCGAACCUCAGUUCUCAUAAGAUCGCGUCGCAUUAAUUUUGAUUUUGAUUUUUUCAAAACUCACGGUGAGUACGAGUGAAAUAUUGGUCGAAUGUGAGUUGAUCGAGAUUCAUUUGCUGUAAUUUAUAUUUAUUAUUUAAGAGUACAUUGUAAGG